CUGCCGAAGAGCUGCCAGUCCGGAUGGCAGCUAUCAACACGGCAAGGGCCUGCAGGCGCAUCAGCCCUCCCCCCGUUCCUCUACUGCCAUUGGAGACAGGAUGCUUUGUAAAAGUGGGAGCUCAUGAAGGUGGCACUGUGCACAGAGGGACAGAGUGGCUGACAGUGAGCUGCCCAGGACAACCUGCUGGCUCUCGUGACCAUCUCCGAAAGCCUUUGGAUGGGCUAAUUGACAGGCAUGCCUGGACAUUUAUAAACUGCUGCUCUUAUAUGCACCAUGA
This 280-nucleotide long non-coding RNA is filed under the name Ixodes scapularis (black-legged tick). RNAcentral's name for it is "uncharacterized LOC121834222, transcript variant X2". Lineage: Eukaryota; Metazoa; Arthropoda; Arachnida; Ixodida; Ixodidae. The record is from RNAcentral.